Molecule: ribosomal RNA, 253 nt
Filed under: uncultured bacterium
Lineage: Bacteria
Description: partial 16S ribosomal RNA
Rfam family: Bacterial small subunit ribosomal RNA
Source: RNAcentral
UACAGAGGGUGCAAGCGUUGUUCGGAUUUACUGGGCGUAAAGCGUGUGUAGGCGGCUUGGCAAGUUGGAUGUGAAAGCCCACGGCUCAACCGUGGAAGCGCAUCCAAAACUGCUUCGCUCGAGUCUCGGAGAGGAAGGUGGAAUGCUUGGUGUAGAGGUGAAAUUCGUAGAUAUCAAGCAGAACACCUGCGGCGAAGGCGGCCUUCUGGACCAAUACUGACGCUGAGGAGCGAAAGCCAGGGGAGCAAACGGG